UUUUUGUUUUUUGUUUUUGUUUUUUUUGAAAUGGAGUCUCACUCUGUUGCCAAGGCUGGAGUGCAGUGGCAUGAUCUCAGCUCACUGUCAGCUCCACCUCCCGGGUUCACAUCAUUCUCCUGCCUCGGCCUUCCAAGUAGCUGGGACUACAGGCACAUGCCACCAUGCCUGGCUAAUUUUGUUUCUGUAUUUUUAGCAGAGAUGGGGUUUCACUGUGUUAGCCAGGAUGGUCUCGAUCUCCUGAUCUCGUGAUCCGCCCGCCUUAGCCUCCCAAAGUGCUGGGAUUACAGGCGAGGGUCACCGCGGCCGGUGGACAUAUCAUAGUUUUUAAAUGAUGAGCUGUUAACAUAAAAUUUCAGGCUUGAUAACAGGGUUUUGUCAUAUUAACGAGGGAUUCAUUUACAAUUAUUCUCCAUUUGAGAUAAGUGCCGCAUUCAGUUGGUUUCUUUUGAUAAUAUUAUUUCAUUUACAACAUUAGAUUGUUCUAAACACAUUUUUUAAAUCUAAUGAUGUGGAGAGUUGCCCAGGCUAUAAUUUGGAGUGAUUAAAAAGCAAGUUUCAGAGUAAAAUGCAUGGUAUAAUAUCUUCUUUUGUUAAUGAAAAAAAAGAGCAAAGCAAGAACAUAUGUGCGAAUAUUUAUACAUGUUUAACAUGUUUGAGCAUAGAGGAAAGUGGUUGGGGAUGGCAACAGGCACAUAACAGUUUGGAUAUCUAGCUGUUAAACAAAUCUUAUCCAAAAGCUAGAAACUAUACUUUUCAACUUGGGAGAUGAUGGUCAGUGAAUUCCUAAUAGACCCAUUUGUUGCCUUCUGUUCGCAAAAGUAUUUCUUCAUGGCAUGUUGGAGCAUUUGAAUGUGGUUUUAAAAUACGGCCAAUAAUAUAACAUCCGUGAUUAUUUUCAACAAGCAAAGAAAAUUAGCAAGCAUUAGAAAUGAAUCAAAUUCCCAGUAAUGGAAGUGUUUGUUCCACUUUGGUUUUCUUAAGUAAUCCUAAUAUCUUAUCUAAUUCUUGACAUUUAUAGUCAUAGCAUUUUGAAACUGGAGUAUGUAUAUUGAGACAGUCUGCUUGAGCAAACCACUUAAAAUGAAUUUUUUAAAAGGUAUUAUAGUGUCAUAGAAAAAUGUGGUUUUUUCCCUCAUCCUUCAUUUGAAAAGAAGAAAACCGUAAGAACACAUUCUCCCUCAAAAGCUAGCAUACUCUAGUGCCAGAAAGCAAAAUGUUAUUUAUUACUCACUGCUUAGUUCAUAACAAAGAGCUAGAAAAGACGUAUACUCAUUAGAUGGAGUUGUGUGGACUUCUGAUUUUCACCAGUUCUUUCAACCCUGAAUCAAGAGCAAGAGGCAGAGUCGGGGCCACCUUGUUGUACAACUUCGAGUGGUCAUACGGACGCUGGAUUGCCCUGGAGCACAAAGCCAGUAGUGUUCCUCGGAGUUGUGUCUGCCAGUUCUCUUUGGAUCAAGCAGUGUGUGACCUGGCAUUCAGCGCAGCUCUUUUAUUUGUGUAGAUAUGCUUCACUACUGAGUCUAGCCACCUCUUGCAGCCAGCACAUGAAUCACAGAAUAACUGUUAACUGCAUGGGAAUGCCCUCUCCUGUGGCAGGGGCUUAAGUAAUUAAAUGGAACAAGAUGUUGUCUUGCACUUUCCCCUCAUACGUGUCCUGCAUAAAGGCUAGGAACUGGUUCACACUCUGCAUAUCAAUAGAUUCAUCUAACAAUGAAGCCAUAGCAACUUCUUUCCCUUGUGCACUACCAAUAAUAAGUCCAAAAGUGUCACUGAAUAAGGGAGUCUUACCAAAGGCCCCUGAUUUCUCUCAGGGCAUAGUACUU
This is a long non-coding RNA of Macaca fascicularis (crab-eating macaque), 1826 nucleotides long. The record is from Ensembl. NCBI's taxonomy places the organism in Eukaryota, Metazoa, Chordata, Mammalia, Primates, Cercopithecidae.